Molecule: small nucleolar RNA, 114 nt
Filed under: Suricata suricatta (meerkat)
Lineage: Eukaryota; Metazoa; Chordata; Mammalia; Carnivora; Herpestidae
Description: Small nucleolar RNA U3 (ENSSSUG00005003166.1)
Rfam family: Small nucleolar RNA U3
About the family: Small nucleolar RNAs (snoRNAs) are involved in the processing and modification of rRNA in the nucleolus. There are two main classes of snoRNAs: the box C/D class, and the box H/ACA class.
Source: Rfam by way of RNAcentral
AAGACUGUACUUUCAGGGAUCAUUUCUAUAGUUCGUUACUAUUUGGGGACUGCUUAAUUUUUAUUUCUGAAAGUAAUAUCCCAAGAUAAUAGAAAUUGUCUUUACUAUCUUGGG